This 396-nucleotide ribosomal RNA is filed under the name uncultured bacterium. RNAcentral describes it as "partial 16S ribosomal RNA". It matches the Rfam family "Bacterial small subunit ribosomal RNA", at positions 523 to 918 of the family's 1533-position model. The record is from RNAcentral.
AUACAGAGGGUGCAAGCGUUAAUCGGAUUUACUGGGCGUAAAGCGCGCGUAGGUGGCUAAUUAAGUCAAAUGUGAAAUCCCCGAGCUUAACUUGGGAAUUGCAUUCGAUACUGGUUAGCUAGAGUAUGGGAGAGGAUGGUAGAAUUCCAGGUGUAGCGGUGAAAUGCGUAGAGAUCUGGAGGAAUACCGAUGGCGAAGGCAGCCAUGUGGCGUGAUACGGUCACUUAGGUGCGAAAGCAUGGGGAGCAAGCAGGAUUAGAUACCCUGGUAGUCCAUGCCGUAAACGAUGUCUACUAGCCGUUGGGGCCCUUGAGGCUUUAGUGGCGCAGCUAACGCGAUAAGUAGACCGCCUGGGGAGUACGGUCGCAAGACUAAAACUCAAAUGAAUUGGCGGGG